CAUGGAAAAAGGAAACCCGUGAGAGACGCAAGGUGCAAUACGACUGACGGGUGGGCUAGGGGGCUCAUGCAGACUCAGCUCGGGAGAGGACAUGCGGCGCUGCUGUGGCUGCACCGCGCGGUCGCCGCCCUGGUGUCGACGGCGCCGAUCUGGCGCCACCCGGUGACCGCUGCCGAAGGACCGAGUUAUAGCGCCAAUAUGAUUGCACCGCGCUUGCGUUUCGCAGGAAACCGGCGCGCCACCAUCUUCACUUCUUCAUGCUGCUGCCUUGGUCCUGCGCGAUGCAUGGCGACAAUGCCGGUGAGUACGUGCGCGGUAUCGUGUGAGUCGCAGCUUUGCCUGCUGUGCGACACCCCCUACACCUCCUGGACGGAGCACUCCCGCGAGCAUGCUCACGUGGCGCGCUCGGUGGUGUGUCGUUUCUUCGUGAUGCCAGAGCGAAGCGAGAGCAUCAUGCAGCACCUAGAGCGGCACAUCGCUCUGGACCUCAAGGAGGUGGAUGCCCUCACAGACCGCAAGGUAGGGCGGCGCCGCGAGCGUCUCCUCGCGGGCCUUGUGCACCUUGUCGAGAAGGGUGUGCUGCGGGAUAGCAUACCCACGCUGCCGUGCUCAACGCCGGCACGCGUGGGGACUGACAAGGGAAGAGGCACUGGCAUUAGCGGCGCGACGCUUGAGGUCAACUCCGACCUCUUUCUCAACCGCGUCCUCGUCGGGGAGGCGUUCCUGCGCCGUGAGGUGCUUGACCGCUGCGCGCGGCUGAUGCCGUCCCUCACAGCGAUGGAGCUGAACAGCGUAGUGACGUACUUGACGUCGACGCGUCAAGUAGCUCGCAUCUUUGAUGAGCUGUCGCUGAUAGAGCUUCUCGUGGCGCGUGCGGAGUCGGAAAAAACUCCCGCGAACGUGAGCACCGCCACCGCUGCUGUAGCUGCCGCCGAAAGAGCGGCAGAGUCAGCGAGCGUAGAGCAGCUGAGCGAGACAACUGCGGCACCUUUCCCAGACAGCGACGCGAGCACAGAGUCACCACCUGCGCAGCAGCCCUGCUCUUCCACGCCGGCCGCCACUCCUCCCUCUCUCCCACGCUGGAGCCUGUCCCGCGAGGACAAGGUGUACAUCAUGUGCGCCUGUCUCGGCGAGCUGCACCGCUUUCACGAGCAGGAGCGACCGCGCUCCGUCAUCUCCAAGGCAGCAGCAGAUGCCAUUGUGCUGAACGUGCUUGCCGGCCACGGACGCGAGAACUUGGUGUCGGAGCUGGUGCAUGAAACACUGCAGCGCAUCGUGGACGAGGGGACGGUGGUCUGGCGGCAGCAUCAGGAGGACGUGAAGCGGCGCGGCCGUUCGUCUGAGGCAAACUUGACAGGGACGGCUCGAAUCAGCGCGUGGCGGGCACCUCGCACGGACAGUACCGUAUCCGAGGACUUGUGCUACGUGCGCACCGCACCGCUGCCGUCAAAGCCUUCACCGAGGCCGGCGUCUCAGUUUACACUGGAUAGCGCCGCAGCGGAGCAGCUAGUGUCUUCCUACUUGCCCUUCAAUGAUGUCGAUCAACUUAGCGGCACCGAGGCUGACGCCGUGAAAGCGACAGCAGAAGCGCCGUCGGGGCCGAGUCCGGGCGGCACCUACACCACCUCUCCAGAGUUCAUUUCAGUACUCCACACUUCGGAGAAGGACUGGGGGCCGCUCACGGCGGAGCUGAGGAAGCGUGCCGAGGAUUGGAAUCGGCUACCCUUUGCGCCUAGCACACCCGAGCUAAAAGCGUCGAAGAUGCUGCGCUAAGCACACUGCAUCGCACGGUUAUGUGCGCGCGUUGAUGUGCGGAGGCUUGUAUUUGCCAGUUUCCACGUCCUGUUGUCCUCGAGGCUCACGUAGAUGUGUUCAGCAGCUGCCGCAGCGAUCUUAGGAGCUUUCAGCGCUGGUGCUCACGACGGUGCUGCUUGCCGACAUGGCGGUGCAGGAGGGGCUGGGCAGCCACCAAUGAAGGUGCUUUUGAGUGCACAUGAGUGUACGGGUGCUCUACUUUUUGUCGUGCCUAUGCGCGUGUGUGGGUGUAUUUCAGUGUUUGCCUUUUUCAGUGGCGCACAGCCUUGAUUCGCGUUCGCGAAAGCAGAAUACAAGAGGGAGGUGCCGCACAUAAGCAUUCGUAUAUGGAUAAGAGGCAGUAGGCUGCGGCCGCCGUGCUCUCCACACUCAGAAACUCCGUGGUUGCCCCGUUGCUGCAGACUGUCUCUGGCAGUGUGGCCAACAGGCAGCAUACACGC
RNAcentral lists this unclassified non-coding RNA (2255 nucleotides) under Leishmania donovani. Its description in RNAcentral is "gene:LdHU3.33.3010(CDS-product:RNA_editing_comple x_protein_MP46)". Lineage: Eukaryota; Euglenozoa; Kinetoplastea; Trypanosomatida; Trypanosomatidae. The record is from RNAcentral.